AUUGGUUUUGAUUUCCCUGCUCUGACAAUAGCCCUACAGGGAUGCUGUGGAGUGACAAUGAGGAAAGCGAGCCUUGGCCACACUUCAGUCACUUUGGGCAGCAGGGACCAGGAAGGCAGGAGGCCAGGGGACAGGCAGGAGGACAGGUAUCCACACCCUGGAGAAAGGUCUCGAAUAAGACUCAGCGCCCCCAGAGAGUAGGCUCCAGAGCAGCCGACCCUACGUCCCCUACUAUAGCCAGCACAGGGCAUGCCUGCUGCAUCCAGGGCCCUGCAGGGCGUGCAGUGCAGAGAGCAGAGUGUGUCCUGGGUCUUGAUCCCAGGCCCUGGGAAGGGAAGGAGACAGACAUGCUGAGCCCUUGUUUGUGUCAGUCCAUCUAAUUACGGCAAACUAGAGCAAGGGGUGCUUUCAUCCCCAUUACUCCUCUAGAGGAGAUACGAGAGGCUCUGAAAGGUACCUAGACUUGCCCAGGCCCUCCCAGUGAGCAGAGUGAUGCAGGGACACAAAUGCCCUCAGAAGGCUCACCCUGUGCCCUUUCUCCCACCUCCAGCCCUGCAGAAAUGUGUGGGAAGCUGUGCUCCUGCCCCAAGUGAGCCCCUGAGUCCCAACGGCAGGUCUGGCGCCAUCCUUUCCCAGGUCCACCUACUGCACCCAGCACAGCUGCCCGAAGAAUGCACUGGCCCUGUGGGCCUGGGGGCUGCCCCCUGUCCUGCUGAUUCCCCUGUCUUGGCUCCUCUUAGACCCCCCAUCCUUGGCCAGCUGUCUCAUGCAAGAGAGUCCACAUCCUGGGGACAGUCCCACCCUGGCCACCCGGACCAAGCACAGCUCCUCGCCCUCCCAGCCUGGCCGGUGCUCGCUGAGGUGGAAACCUCAGAAGAAGAAACUCAGCGGCCUCAUCUGCAGCGGGUUGGGCUGGGAGCCCAUCACGGAUGGGUUUACAAACCAGAAAUGUUAGACUACAAACAACAAUUUCACAUCUGUAAACCACUUCAUCUGAUGACAAACAUGGCCUCAGGCUCAAAUGUUUACAGCAAAUUGGGGCAAAAAUACUGUCUGGAGUUAAAUUCUCAGUAGCAAAUUGUACAAGCCGGAGAGCAGGGCAGCGCCUCCAGAGAGGAAAGAAGAGAGGGUGAGCCUCUCAUGCCUCCCCUACACUGGUCCCUUUGCCCAGAAUGACUGCACGUUUUUCAUCACUUGCUUCCAACAAGUGGAGUUAGGACUGUUAUCAAACCCAGAGACACAAGCAAAGGGCAGCUUUGACAAGCCGGUCCCUCCCGCACCCGCCCCUGCGUGGGAAAUGCCAAAGUCCUCUGCUCAGGGCGGGGCUGGGGUGCGCCCCGGAGUGCUCUGGGGCACCUGGAGGAGGUUUCUUUGUGUGAAGUCUCUGUCACUGUGUGUGGGUGUGUGUGUGUAUGUGUUUUGUGCAUGUGUUGUGUGUGUAUGUGUUGUGUGUGUUGUGUGUAUGUGUGUCUUGUGUGUGUUUGUGUGUUGUGUGUGUCUAGGCCAGGGAAAC
Homo sapiens (human) is the source of this 1513-nucleotide long non-coding RNA. RefSeq lists it as uncharacterized. The record is from RefSeq and is a predicted model, not a curated record. NCBI's taxonomy places the organism in Eukaryota, Metazoa, Chordata, Mammalia, Primates, Hominidae. The transcript is spliced from 3 exons.